CGGAGAAGUCCUGGCCGUUUACUGGCUCGCUGCAUAAUGAAGAGAGACGGAGCUGGAGGAGGCUUGAGGGGGAUGGAGAUGUCUGUUUGGUGAGCGCAUCCUUCAGGAGGACAUUCAUAGCUUUAAUGCUGAAUCUCACAAUGGAUUAGAACGGAAGAUCUGCUGUGAAGCUGUUAGCUGAGGAGAGAGCGUUCUCAUGACGUGGGAUCAGAACCCAAAGGCGCUCUGCCAUACAGCAGGUUCAAGGACGUUACGAGCCGAAAGCGUCUGUGGAAUAGGGUUUAAAUAGUAUUUGUGUUGCAGAGCUCUCCUGCUCGUGUAAUAUUGACUUAAAAGUGGAGCACAAACUGAGCGAGACCUCGCAGACAUUACAGUAUCAGUGGAAGGAACUGAACUGAUCGUUUUCAUUUUGAAUCAGCAGUUUGUCUGGACGAUAAAGGUUAUGUUCACACCGCAGAUUAAUGACGCAGAAACUGGAUUUCAGGCUAAAAUGCAAAACACAAGUGCAGCAGGACAGAGAGGAUUCAUGGAAGAAAUUAUUGUUUUAUAAUGAGGAGAACAAGAAGCUACUCUCUGACAUAACGCCGGGAGUGAGAUGAGCAAACACUGGGCUGCUAACAAGAGCCUGAGGGCUCAGUUAGAUGAAAGAGAUCAGACGCUGAAGGAGCUGCACCAGAGGGUUGGUGUUUCAGAGAGGGAUGUGACGAUGAAGAGGCAGCUGGUGGAGGAUCUCAGAUGCAGACUAUAGAUCUGCCAGAACACUGAGACGAGCCACAGAUCAGCGGCUGAAGACUUGGAGAAGAAAGAAGAUGGAAUCUCUCACUGAUGAGGCAGCUUACCGAAGAGAAGAUUGACAGAUGCCACUGCAGAACAAAACCAGCAUGAGGCAACCAGCCAAAAACUCAAAGAAGAGCUUCAGAGAAAGGUUCAAGAGCAUCUGUACAUCACUCAGGAAUCGUAAUGCUUUUUUUGGGCUUGUCCUGCGUUGUAUUGCAGGAUGGCUUUUUCUUUCUCUUUCUUUAUUCACCUAAUUACCAUCAGUCUCGUUUGAUGUUUGGCGCCAAAUGCCAUACUUUGCCCCAGUUUCAUCGUUCAGUUCAUUCUAUCCGUUAUAUACUAUCUCCUAAUUGGUGAAACGCUUGUUAAGUGUGUUUAUUCCUCAGGAGCAGAGAAUGGCCGUCCUAGUCAUCACUGGGAAUGUAACGAUUCACUCAACUCGAUUUAUUUUUCUUUUUUUACAAAAUUAGAUUUAAGACAAAUUAUAAAUUAAAUGUGUCCUUUUAUUAUUGCUUGGACAAAAUGCUGCAUGUUUCUUUGUGAAAUUGAAAUGUAACACUAUAAUAAUAUACUAAAAUAGCACUUAUCACUGUUCUUUUGUUGGUUUUGAUUGCUUCUAUUGUCCUCAUUUGUAAGUCGCUUUGGGUUGAAGCAUCUGCUAAAUGACUAAAUCUAAAUAUAAUGUAAAUGUAAAUAACAAAACUAAAUUGAAAUUUAAAAAUAAGUAACACAAAUAAAAGAAAUCUUGGUCUGUGCUCUUUCCAUUUAAAAUGAGAGGCAACCACUGCAUUUUAAUCAUGAGCAGUUUUUAAUCUAAAUUAGAUUGUAUAACUUUAAAUUUAAAGCAAAAACAGAAUGGUUUGACUUCAGUUUUGUGAAACUAUACAUAAAAAAUAUUUGCAUGAAGCAGAAACUGAAACAGCAGAUGAGCUGAACGAGACGCAGAUUCACUCUCUGCCAGCAG
This is a long non-coding RNA of Cyprinus carpio carpio, 1741 nucleotides long. Lineage: Eukaryota; Metazoa; Chordata; Actinopteri; Cypriniformes; Cyprinidae. The record is from Ensembl.